CUCCCAUUUAAGAUACCCCAUGUCACAAAAUCAUCUAGUAUCAUGCAGAAAAAAUGUCUAAAGAACCAAAACAGAUUCAAUGCAGUGACGGCAGAAAGUGUAUGGGCAUGAAGAUUCAAAGAAAAAGAUGCGGCCGUUGAAAGAUUUAUAUGCUCCUUUGCUCCAGGUACCUGAACCACUAAGGCCAGUUUCACCAAAUUCAUUUAGUCCAGAAGCACCAACACCAAGUUCAUCUGCACUCUUACCUCCUCCACCACUUCCAGAAUCAGAAGACCAAGUGUUUCCUCCUAAUGGAAAUCAAAAUGAGAAAUCUCUUGAGACCUCACUCAGAGUGCACAUCCUUACCACAGUACAAGGCUAAUGAGCUUGGAUCGAUGGUGUUCUCAGCCCAGUGGACUGAAAACAAUAGAUUGAAGAUUUGUGGCAACCCUGUGACUACCAACUCUAUUGAAACCAUUUCUCCAAUAGCAUGAGCUCACUUCAGGUCUUUGUAUCACAUUUUCAUAAUUCUCACAAUAUUUCAAAUUUAUUAUUAUUAUUA
Molecule: long non-coding RNA, 541 nt
Filed under: Homo sapiens (human)
Lineage: Eukaryota; Metazoa; Chordata; Mammalia; Primates; Hominidae
Description: HSALNT0367712
Source: RNAcentral